UCAAAUACGUUCGCGCAUUCAAUACGCUCUGCAUUGGACUAAAACACAACGGAUUGCGAAAUGUUUCGACUAGUAUUACCAUUGUGUCUUUUGGUUUGCGCUACAGCAGCUGUUUCAGGCAAGAGGAAUUCCUGUCCAUCAGGAGAUAUAGGGCCAGCUUGUGACAAAAAGAAUCCCUGCAAAUCUGGAUACACUUGCGUUUGGCGAAAGUGUUGCCGAAAUGCUAUCGUGAACGAGUGUCCCGCCCACAUUAUGUUGAGACCCGAAAAUUGCAAGACACCAUCACACCAGUGCACAACCGAUGCGGAUUGCCGCAAAGGGCAGCUAUGCUGCACUUCACCGUGUGAAAGAUAUUGCAAAGGUCCUGGAUUUCCCGGAUAAGAUGUCCAAUAGGAAUCCCUGGUUUUUCGAAAUCGGAAAAAGACGCAUGGACUGUUUUCAUACCUUUCUUUAUAACAGAAAUUUGAAAGUUCUUAAAUAUUUUUUUGAUUAAUACUAACGUUUAUGUUAAAUAAAGUCUUGAACGUAAUAUUAAAUUGAUUUAUAUUAAUUAUAUACUUUUUAGUUGAUACAACAACAUUGUUUAGGUGAAAUGAAAAUAUACAAAAUUACACACACAAUUUUAUUACUUUGGUGGAAAUAUAACUAGAAACAUAUUCAUAUUCGCGUUUGCUCAACACAUAUUUAACACACGUUGUCAAUGUCACUUCAUUGGUUAACAUUGUACGGUAUAAUUAUUCGUUAAAUAGUAUCUUGUGUUGUGUUUUCCUGGCCUGAUACCAAGUCAGUGAUUAUAUUCAGACGUCAUUUCAGAAACAUUAACCAAACCGUUUCUGUCGAGUUUGGCUUUUUGUCAAACAAACACUGAAGAUAACAAUAAAUGUUUACAUUAUUGUGAAAAUCAAUUUAAUAUUCCUUAUUUACCAUUUUAAAGACACGCAUUCGUUACAAAUGCGUGUGCUGGUGUUCGUUAUGAUUAUAUAAAUUUAUAUCGGAAAUACGUUAACCCAAUAAAUCACAGUUCAACUUUCA
Long non-coding RNA from Dreissena polymorpha, 1032 nucleotides. RefSeq lists it as uncharacterized. The record is from RefSeq and is a predicted model, not a curated record. Lineage: Eukaryota; Metazoa; Mollusca; Bivalvia; Myida; Dreissenidae. The transcript is spliced from 3 exons.